AUGGCCAGGAAGGGCGGAGAGAGGAAGAAGGCGGUGACCCGGUCCACCAAGGCCGGCCUCCAGUUCCCCGUCGGCCGCAUCGGGCGCUUCCUCAAGAAGGGCCGCUACGCGCAGCGCGUCGGCUCCGGCGCCCCCGUCUACCUCGCCGCCGUCCUCGAGUACCUCGCCGCCGAGGUGCUGGAGCUCGCCGGCAACGCCGCCAAGGACAACAAGAAGACCCGCAUCGUGCCGCGCCACCUGCUCCUCGCCAUCCGCAACGACCAGGAGCUCGGCAAGCUGCUCGCCGGCGUCACCAUCGCGCACGGCGGCGUGAUCCCCAACAUCAACCCCGUGCUGCUCCCCAAGAAGGCCCUCGAGAAGGCCGAGAAGGAGUCCCAGUCGCCCAAGUCGCCCAAGAGGAAGGCCCCCGCCCCCGCACCCGCCGCCAAGAAGACCCCCAAGAAGACCGCCGCCGACAAGAAGACCGCCGCCGCCGACAAGAAGACCGCCGCCGCCGACAAGAAGACCGCCGCCGCUGACAAGAAGACCGCCGCCGCCGACAAGAAGGCUGCCGCCGACGCCGAGGAGGAGGCCGCCGCCGACGAGUAG
This 588-nucleotide ribosomal RNA is filed under the name Triticum aestivum (bread wheat). Its description in RNAcentral is "partial small subunit ribosomal RNA". Lineage: Eukaryota; Viridiplantae; Streptophyta; Magnoliopsida; Poales; Poaceae. The record is from RNAcentral.